CUAAACUGAGGAAAGUCGACCGAUACUGAUCGGCUCGAGGGACGUAGAGGUAAGCGGAACUCUCGGAGUAGCGGUGAAAUGCGUAGAGACCGAGAGGUACCCCGAUGGUGAAGACGGCUUACUGGGCGUCUCCUGACGCUGAAGCGCUAAGGCCAGGGGAGCGAAGGGGAUUAGAUACCCCCGUAGUCCUGGCUUCAAACGAUGUGGGCUUGGUGUCGGCUCCCGAUAGAGAGUCGUUGCCGGAGCUAACGUGUUAAGCCCACCGCCUGGGGAUUACGUCCGCAAGGAUGAAACUCAAGGGAAUUGACGGGGGCCCACACAACCGGUGGAGCACGUGGUUUAAUUCGAUGAUAAGCGAAGAACCUUACCAGGGCUUGACCUAGCGGUAGUAGGAUCCUGAAAAGGAAACGACCUCAAGCUUUGCUUGAGGAGCC
RNAcentral lists this ribosomal RNA (434 nucleotides) under uncultured bacterium. RNAcentral's name for it is "bacterial SSU rRNA". It matches the Rfam family "Bacterial small subunit ribosomal RNA", at positions 608 to 1042 of the family's 1533-position model. The record is from RNAcentral.